GUACACUAUACACGUAGCCUAAAUUUGCUGGGUAAGCGCUAUGACAUGCAGAGCCUUUUCAUUGUAUCAUCUGCCUUACUCUACUCAUCGUCUAUUUCCCUGUAUACCUCUUUAUUUUUCCCUUUACUUCUCGAUUUCUCUAUGUGAAUUCUCCUGUCGGCAUAUGCAGAUAGUUUAUCCAUCUUUGUUCUAUUUGAAUUUGCUGCGAGCUCUUUUAAUUUAGUUUGUUGUUUGUGCAAUUUUCUUUGUUUAUUAUACUUGUUCUACUACUUGUCUAAAUUUUGGUUGGUAAACGUUCGUUUUCUGCUGUUUUGCAUAAUUGUUACUAGAAUUUUUACAUACAUAUCAGUAAAUAUUCAUGAUUUGCACAUUUUCUAUGUUUUUUUUAUGAAAGUUGUUCGUUUUCUGCUUUUUGCAUAAUUCUUGCUGGAAUUUUUACAUAAAUGCCAAUAAUUGUUACUAAUUUGCACAUUUACUUUGUUUUUUUAUGAAAUUUAACUUUUGCUACCAACUACUCAGUUCAGGAUUAAACGGUCCUAUUAAAAUUUUAUGGUAUCAAUAUUCGUUCGAAGAUUGGGUCUCUUAAUUUACGUUAUUUUUUUCCUGCAGAUUAACCUAUCUAAAGAUGCAAUUCUGAAAUAGGAGACAAACACGGAGACAGAGAGGACGGGUUGAUCGGUGGUUACCGCUAAUAUACAUCUGGUAUGAUUGCUUUACCAGCUUGAGUUUCAAUCUCUUUGUUUUUUUUUUUUUUCAUAGUGUGAUUAUGAACAAUAAUAAUAAUAAUCAUUGAAGCGGCCUAUGCACCCAAGAAGAUGAUAUGCCUGACUCAUCUUUUUUAAAGUGAAGUCCACAAUUUCAUUUCAGAUUCCCCGUUAGGAAACUUGUGCGUUCUGACACUUAAGAUUGUAAUUAGCUGCUCUGAAUACUUCAUUACCUGGAAAAAUUUAUUAUAAGUCAUUUUUUGUUUCACUUGUGCAGAUACGUUACUCUAGAUUACUGUAGAUAGGUUUCUUCUUCAUAUUCCAUGGAUUUUUGUUUUUCAUUGUGGAGAUACUUCAUUUUUAGACAAUUCUAUUUAUUAAUCGAGAGAAUAGAGAUUUCCUUAGAUUUUCUAACAGUAGAGUUUAACAUUGCUUUAAAUGCAGGAGAUAAUUUUAAGAGUUUCAAGUAGUUCAAAGAUACCGCAAAUUUUUACAAAUUGGCGGCAAUUAAGGCUUGAUAAUUUGACAUUUGAAAAAGCCAUAUCAGUUGCUCCGUCUUCCUUUGCUAUUCAGGUUUACAAGUUCCAUACUUUGUUGUAGGAGAAAGUACCAUUUAAAAACUUCUGCUUGCUCUGAAAAUAGUUGUGAUAUCAUCAUAAUGGGAAAUUAAAAUGCAAGCACCUUUUUACAAGUAGCAAGUGAGUUAGGCAUAGCUUGUUUGAGAUAAAUACUCUAGUUAAAUCUCAAAGCUCUUUAUAUUGGGAAUCAGUUUCUCAUUUCAAUCUGGGUCGAGUUACUUUGAAUAUAGUUGAGAUAUAAAGGUAGUUGACCAAAUAAGUGAAGUGAUAAGAAUUAGCGACUUUGAGAAAUUAUUUUAACUUCCCUCAUGGAAUUGAUCCUUUGAAAAACCUACAGUUUGAUCCGCUUCAAGGAAAUUAGUAGUUCCUUCUGUGAUUUAUUUCUACAAUGUCUUAAUUUUAUUGGUUGAUUCUAAUCUUCUAAAAAACAUAUUUGAGCCUACAACUUGGGUAAUCAUGAGCUAUUAUUGAAGUAUUGUCUACUAGCUCUGGCACUUGGAUUAUGUCAGCAAGCAAGUUGUAAUGCUUAGGAUUAUCAUGCUAAGAAAUUGCUUAUACUUUUCAGUUCUGCUGCACCAAGUAAGAGAUAAGCCUCAAAAUUUAUAGACAUUAUUAGCAGAGAAAAAAAAUACUUGGACUUCCAUUAGGAUGAGAACAUCUUUAUGUGGAAACAAACAUCUGUAAUAGAAAGAUAGAAUGUUGCAAAUAUCUGUGUGCUUAUCAUCUUCUUAUGUAACAUUCUUCAAUGUGGGAUACAUGUUUCUGCAACAGAUGGCCUCUUUUCCAAUAUUCAAUCAUCAAAAAAGGUGUACAAAUGAUAAACUAAAUAAUAACACUGAUUUUGAUUUUUUACAAUGUCAAGAAGGGAAAUGUAGGAUUGACCACUAGAACUGUGAUGAAAUUCCUAGAAUUUCUCUAAGAUUAGAAGACGGCUAUACAUUUAGUUUUUUGGUCAUUUGAACUGAAAAUUCCAGCACUACCUUAUUGCCAUUUCAAAAAAUAAGGAACUCAAUUAAAUUAGGAAUGACCAAGAGUACCUUGCAACAUAACAAGGUAGGUGAAAGACUUUAUAUAUAUAAUAUGCCUCUUCCUUCACUAUUGCUUAUAUUAUGUAAUCAUUGGCUUUGCUUUCAGGUAGUAUGGCCGAUUGACGACAUCUUUGAUAUGCUUCACUUGGCUAGACUAUCAACUUUGGUGUCAUUCUUUUGCAUAGCCUCUCAAAAAUCCGUAAGUUAUUAAUCUUAAUUAAAGAAUUAUAAGUGUCAGGACUUAAAGUACUUAAUUAAAAAAACUUGCGCUGAUUGACUAAUACAUGGCAUAAAUCUGCUUUAGUCUGAGGAUGUAACAAUGUUUUUCCAAUCUAUAUCUAUCUAAAAUAUUCAUUAGCCCUUAUUCUCUGUCUCGAACAUAUCCACUUGUACAUACAAAUCUGGUAUUCCUGUAAGUAUUUGUCUAGCUUUGAUCUGCUAAACCCGAGGAUGAUCAUAAUGAAAUAUAUUUAGAGUUAUGAAUGAUCAACAAAAAUCCGUGAAUGGUUAAAAGAGGAAGCUUUGGAUUUGAGCUUUUAGUUUUUCUUAAUGGUUGUAAAGCUGAUAACUGAAUAUGGAACUUCGAGACUUGGUUUUUGUUGGAUUCAAGAUUUAUAUCCUUACUCCCUUACUUGGAUUAGUGAAAAUAAUAAAAUAAUUUCAAAUAUUCUCAAACAUUUAUUCUAACUGAAUAUGCUGUUUUUUCUUCUGUUGGGCGCAAUUGCACAUGUAUUUUUCAAGAAGUACGAGUAAUGAACGUUAUGACAUUUUAUAAGAGAAAGAUUAAGAAGCAAAUAACUUUUGCUGGCCAAAAUACAUUCACUUUAUGUCACGACCCCAAUUUUCCUCCGUAUGAUAUUGUGACGACACCUAGUCUCCAAGACUAGGUAAGCCUAUCAAAUAUGCGGAAUAACUGAAAUAUUAAGCUAAAACUCAAAACGUCAAUAAUUGUAAUAAAUAAAAACUGCAACUCAAGUAUAAACAACUCCCAAAACCCGGUAGAUAUAAGUCACAAUCUCUAAAGAGAAAUACUAGAUAUCCCUAUACAUCAUAGUCUAAUGAGAAUAAGGAAACAUCAUAAUAGAGAUAAAGGGGGACUCCGAAAUCUGCUGACACUGGCAGAUAUACCUUGAAGUCUCCACGUACGGGGUAGCUCACUGGUACCUAAUCUGGUAGGCAGUACCUGGAUCUGCACAAAAAAGAUGUGCAGAAGCUUAGUAUGAGUACACCACAACAGUACUCGGUAAGUGUCAAGCCUAACAUCGGUAGAGUAGUGACGAGGUCAGGUCAGGGCCCUACUGGAAUAAUAAGAAACAAGGCGGAAGAUAUAAUUAUAUAAUGAAAUGACAAAGAAGUGUAACAAUAGAAAUUCACAGAAGGUAACAACACGGAAUCAAAGAAGACAAUUACAACACGUAAGGAUGUAAGAAUCUUACAAGUUAAGGAACGACAACAACAACAAUACAUCAAAUAGAGAAAAACAACAAGGGCACUCCCGAUGUACCGCCUCGUAGUCCCAAAAAUAAAUAUCUCACAAUGGUACGGCAAAAAUCUCGUGCAAACAAUAACAACCCGCACGGCGGAAACCUCGUGCUACAAUAACAACCCGCACGGCAGAAACCUCGUGCCACAAUAACAAUCCCCACGGCAGAAACCUCGUACCACAAUAACAAUCCACACGGCAAAAAUCUCGUGCCACAAUAACAAUCCGCACGGCAUAAAACCUCGUGCCAUAAUAACAAUCCGCACGGCAGAAACCUCGUGCCAUGACCAUACAAUCAUCUCGACAAUAAUCACGAAAACCAACACGUAACAAAUGAAAUAAUGAUAUUACAAGUAAAGAAUCCUAUAAUUAAAGAAUGAAUACAGAAUCAAGGAAGCAGGUAAUUCAACUGAGCAUAUUGUACAAAUUGCAAAUAAGAGAUAAGACACGCAGACAUGUGAAAUUAGGCUAAACAUGAUGGCUACACAUGCUAGAGUAACUCAAUUAAGAAAAUAAAAAAAAACUACUUAGCAAAAAUCGGUUUUUUUUUUAAAUAUUUAGCCCGAGUACGCACUCGUCACCUCGCGUACACGGCCUUCACGUAUCGCAAUUUACCAUAACAGUGCCAAAUUCUAAGGAGAAUUUUUUCCACACAAGGUUAGACAAGUCACUUACCCCAAAUCUCGCUCAAUCAAUCAAUAAGAAAGUCGUUCCCUCGAUUUUCCAACUCCGAUCGGCUCGAAUCUAGCCAAAAUAAUUUCAUACUNNNNNNNNNNNNNNNNNNNNNNNNNUAUAGAAAAUUAAUUUAAAUAAUGAAAUUACGACUUUAGCAAAUAAUUAAAAAAUCGCUCCAAAAAGUUGACCCGGGCCCACGUCUCGAAACCCGACCAAAAUUACAAAAAACGAACACUCAUUCGAUAUCGAGUCCAUACAAGAAUUAUUCAAAUCCGACCUCAUUUCGCCUUUCAAAACCAAAAAACUUAGUCUAAGAAGUUCUACCACUUUUCUCCAAUUCUUCCAACUCCAAUCCUUAAUUACAUGAUAAAAACAAUGAUAGAUUGGUGUAAUUUAACCAAAAUCGAGUUAAGAAUUCUUACCCCAAUAAUUCCUCUGAAAAUUCCUCGAAAUUUCGUCUCCCACCGAGCUCCCCAAAUCCCAAAAUGAAAUAUGAAUCAAAACUCUCAAAAAUUCCCCUUUUUUGCUAGUUAAACCGCACCUGCGACCUUGCUGCCGCAUCUGCGGUUCCGCACUUGGGAAAAAGCAUGGCAGGUGCGGACCUCACUUAAGUCCAAAGAAUCUGCUUCUGCGGAAAGUGGCUCGCAUCUGCGCAUACGCACCAGCGGCCCAAGCGACGCACCUGCAAAACACAGUCGCACCUGCGCUCCUCUCUAUUGCAGAAGCGAAGCCGCUUCCGCGGAACGUUUUCCGCUCCUGCGCCCCCAACUGGGCAUGCCCAGUUCCGAGCUUCGCUUGUGCGGAACAUUUUUUGCUCUUGCUCCCCCAGCUGGGCAUGCCCAGUUCCGCAUCUGCGACCAAGUUCUCCCAUUUGCGAGCCCGCACCUGCGGCCAUUCUCUCCGCAUGUGCGAAAACACCAGAAGCUGGGCACUUUCAGCAAUCCAACAAGUUCAUAAAUGAUCCGAUUCCCAUCCAAUUCACACUCGGAUCCCUCGGGUCUCCGUCCGAAUAUACCAACUAGCUCCAAAACACAUAGCGGACCUAAUCAAGGCUAAAAAUCACAUCAAACAACUCUAAAAACAUGAAUUGUGCAUCGAUUCAAGCCUAAAGAACUUUAGAACUUCUAACUUCUACAUCCGAUGCUGAAACCUAUUAAAUCAAAUCCGAUUGACCUCAAAUUUUGCACACAAGUCAUAAUUGACAUUACAGACCUACUCCCAUUUUCGGAAUCGAAAUUCGUCUCCGAUAUCAAAAGUCCACUCCCGAUCAAACUUUUCAAAAAUUAUCCGACUUUUCAACUUUUGUCAAUUAACGCCGAAAUGAUUUACGGACCUCCAAAUCAACAUCCAGACACGCUCCUAAGACCAAAAUUACCAUACUGAGCUAUUGAAACCGUCAAAACUCCAUUCCUGAGUCGUCUUUACACAAUUCGAUCUACGGUCAACUCCUACGGCUUAAACUUCCAUUUUUAGGGACUAUAUGUCCCAUUUCACUCCGAAAUCAAAAAUCAAACCUCCCGGCAAGUCACAUAACCACAGUACAACACAAAGAAUGUAAUAAACAAGGGGUCGGGGCUAAUACACUCAAAACAACCGGCCGGAUCGUUACACUUUGAUAUACCUUUAGAUGCCUUUUGGAAAUAAACUUUUACGGUCUGAACAAGUUUGCCAAUAAAAUUGUGUCCCCAUAAAACUCAACAUAGUAACACUCCUAAUCCGGAAACCUGUUUAAAAGUUAAACUAUUAGCUACUAAAUUGUUUCAUAUAGAAAAGAAAAUAUAGUUCUUACAUAAAUUUUAUAUGAGAUAUAUAAAAGAUAUUUUGACUGCACUCCUAAAUUAAGGGGGUAUCAUUGUGAGAUAGCGUAUAAAGGAAAAGUGAUUACUCAAAUUUUGGAUGACAAGAGUAGAAGUUUUUGCCAAAAAUAUUACCUUUGCAGAAAAGGUUCAAAAUAUGGAAUCUUUUAGUGUAUAUUUAGGUGUCAAAUCUUUAGCUACUAGCUUAAUAUCAAAAACACUUACUGAAAGUAUUUGUGUGCCAUUCUUGUGUACUAUUUGACUUAUCAGAAAUAUGGAAAAAGGUGUUUAAAAGUAUUUGUGUUCCCUUUUCAUGUACUAUCUAACUUAUCAGAAAUAUGAAAAAGGGCGUGGAAUCAACUACUCAAUAUUAUAUUUCAAAAUUUUAAUUUGUCACAAACAAUUAGAUAUUUCAGUGUGCUUCUCUCCUAUCCCUAUCCUAUGUGAUUUCAACAAUUUGUUAGAAUUAUGCAUGCAACUUGAGUGUGUAUAAGGGAAAAAGAAGUUCACAUAAAUGAUUUUUUUGCCUUUUCUUCGGGUCUUGAGAGAAAAGGCUCUAGGAACUACUUAAGUAUGUGUAUGGGAAAAAGAAGUUCACAUAAAUAGCUAUAUGAGAUACUCCAACUUGAUGCUUUUCGCCUUUUUCUUUAUAGAAAUACAUUUUUCUUUCUAAGCCUGGAGAAAUUUUUAUUUUCCAUUCUCGGAUGUGUAUUUAUUGGUUGUAAUAUUGGAUAUUACCUUAGCCUUGGAUUGAAUGCAGUGAUUAUGUCUCAAUAUAGUUCCUCUGAGGAGUUGUUACUAUACAUGAUGAUUGAAUAUCAACUCUAAUUUCAAAGAUUUUCACAUCUGCUAUUGUGAGAAUAAUUUCUAGCAUUUCAUUCACCUCCAUUGCACUCAUUAAGUUAGCUUUUUGGAAUUGAUAAUUUUGUUCCUGGUUCUGAAUUUCUUGUUUUUACUCUUGCUGCCAUGUUCUGGUGGUUGGAUAAUGGAUAUCCAACAAGAAUACCGAUGAUGUUUGAGUUUUGACACGAUUCAAGAAACUUUUGGUUCUAAUGUAAUAACUCAUAAGCUUUUGAUUGAUGUUUACUUGUCUUUUGAAGGUACUAUAGAACUUCUUAUACGUUCUUCUGUUCACUGUGCUGUUGUUUCUGGUAUAACAAGAGCAACUGAUUUGGUUACUGUACCAGAUACUUAAAAGGGAAUAAGCGGUUAAAUGUGUUGUGAUUUUUAUGUGCGUGAAAAUACACACUUCAUGUAUUUUGUGGGUAUUGCAUUAAUAAUACCGGAUUGUAAUCGUUACUUGUGGUAGCAGUAGCAUUGUAGUGUAUGUUUUUGUCCUCUUUUGCAGAUAUUAGACUGUCGUGCUAUUUAUAUAAUGUAUCGAAAAGCUUACUGGUUAUGACAAUCCAAUUUAAUACUAUCUAUGUAUAUGGAGAAUUGUUCUAUUGGCACCAGAACACGUGGG
RNAcentral lists this long non-coding RNA (7729 nucleotides) under Nicotiana tabacum (common tobacco). RNAcentral describes it as "long non-coding RNA (NTAB_LNC000480)". The record is from RNAcentral. Lineage: Eukaryota; Viridiplantae; Streptophyta; Magnoliopsida; Solanales; Solanaceae.